This is a long non-coding RNA of Pangasianodon hypophthalmus (striped catfish), 1217 nucleotides long. RefSeq lists it as uncharacterized. The record is from RefSeq and is a predicted model, not a curated record. The transcript has 6 exons. Lineage: Eukaryota; Metazoa; Chordata; Actinopteri; Siluriformes; Pangasiidae.
GGGGAAAAGAUUACAUUUGGCAUUUCUGUCAGCAUUACCCAUGAUCCUCAGCUUCCGGAGCCAGGCCGCGGCCGCGGGUGAAUUCUUCUUCUCAUCGCGCUCAAACCGCUGCACAGCUUGAGAAACUCCAUGCCAUUGGAUACAAGCCAGUUCUACUUCUUGGCAAGGAGACCAAAAAGAGAGAAAACAACUGUGAAAUAUUAACCCCUCGCUGCACACUCUCCACCUAUGCCCAGGACUACCUUCAGAAGAUAGGUUCAUUUUAUGAAUACCUUUUGUGAAGGUUGGAACCAGGAUUCCAGUGGCAAUGAUGACAACUUGCGGAGGGACCAAGGCAUAUGCCUAAGAGGAAAAAAGCCACAAAAGAGGCAAAGCAGAAUUAUUGGUUGACUGGGAGCCCUGUCCAAUAUGUGGCAAGGAUUGGGCCCAUUCCUGGCAGCCAAAGGAUUCUCUUCAAAUUAAUGAGAAGAAAUAAAAUGUAGAAUUUGAACUACAUUUUGGUUUCUGCCUGUUUAUUACAUUGUUUCUGCGCUGCUUUUGAAGUCAUGUCUCAUCUUUCUGUAGUGGUGAAAAGGUGAAAAUCCCCAAUAAAUGUGACACAUGGAGUUUAGUCUCAAGUAGAAAUUUACUUAAUCCAACUCAAUUUCCUUUUCAGAUGUUAUUUGGAAACAUGUUUUAUAUUUCAUGAUUAUACAUUGCACUAUGUUAUUUUAUUACAGUUGACAUAUAACUUGAUUUCAUGUUCUGUUGUCUGUGCUUUUCAAGUUAACUUAACCUCACAGACCACUGUUAAGACGCAAAAUCUGUUUAAAGCUGUUCCUCUCUCUGCUGCUGACAGUUGUCAUUUCAGACAAAUUGAUCCGACAAAAAUCUUCAGAUCUUCCACCCUAUUCACCUCCAGUCCUCAUCAUAUUCAGCUCACAGGAGUCCUUCCACUGUGCUCAUCAGGAGCUGAGCUCCACAUUCAUCCAGAUCUCAGCAUUGCUAUUUGCUCCUUCACCACCACCAGUGUCUAGACUCCAUGGGGGGAUAUUCCAUUUCAUAUCAUGCAUCUCUCUUCUACUUUUCAAAUAGUGACAUCUCCAUGUGGUCUAAUUGCCAAAGACUAAAUAGUUUCAACUUAUGCACCUUGUCAAAUUUGUUUGAUCGCUCUUUAAGCCUGCAGUCAAUAAUUAAGCAAUAAAAAAGCAUUUGGUGUUUUUUCACUUGUAUUUUUG